AGUAAACNCAUGCUGCCGCCACCUGC
RNAcentral lists this non-coding RNA (26 nucleotides) under Mus musculus (house mouse). Lineage: Eukaryota; Metazoa; Chordata; Mammalia; Rodentia; Muridae. The record is from RNAcentral.